ACAGCCCACAAAUAUUUGGCCUGUAGCCUUUCAAAGAAAAUGACCCUUGAAGUGUGUUGUUGCUGAAGAAAAGAAUCAUCUCUCACAGAGCAGUUUGUCAAACAUGGGCCACUAUUUGGAAAAGCCUAUGAAUGUGGGAUUAAGCAGAAGUACAGAUAGGAAGAGAAUUUCUGUCUCUUGGAAGAACCAAAACAUUGUUGCCAAGACAUCACAGGGUCAUGUCAUGGCAGAGGAGAUGAUGGUAGAAGACAGAUGUGGGACAACAGGAAAGGAAAAAAGGCCAGCCCAACUGGGGAAACCUGAUGUGCUACGUGGGGGUGAAAAAUAGAGAUGGCCAUGAAGACUUUUAGGAGCAGAGGUGGCUUGUUCUUAAUCAUAUGUUGUUUGCAAACCUGAUUGAAAUCCCCUUCAUUUCAUUAAAACUUUAGUAAAA
Suricata suricatta (meerkat) is the source of this 433-nucleotide long non-coding RNA. RefSeq lists it as uncharacterized. NCBI's taxonomy places the organism in Eukaryota, Metazoa, Chordata, Mammalia, Carnivora, Herpestidae. The transcript has 3 exons. The record is from RefSeq and is a predicted model, not a curated record.